This 161-nucleotide non-coding RNA is filed under the name bovine gut metagenome. RNAcentral describes it as "Lysine riboswitch". It matches the Rfam family "Lysine riboswitch aptamer". From Rfam's summary of the family: Riboswitches are metabolite binding domains within certain messenger RNAs that serve as precision sensors for their corresponding targets. The record is from RNAcentral.
GAGAUAGAGGUGCGGUGUUCAUCAGUACGGUCCGGCAAAGCCAGGCAGCUGCCGAACGGAAAGGGUCCGCCGCCGAAGAAUCAGAGGGUGCCUGCCCGAAGGAUUCUGGGCUGCAUGAAAAGAUCAUGCAGACUGUCACAAGACUUUGUGGAGCGCUAUCG